RNAcentral lists this long non-coding RNA (314 nucleotides) under Sorghum bicolor (sorghum). RNAcentral describes it as "long non-coding RNA (SBIC_LNC018364)". Lineage: Eukaryota; Viridiplantae; Streptophyta; Magnoliopsida; Poales; Poaceae. The record is from RNAcentral.
GGCCGCGUGGGAUGUCUGCGUAGAUGGCUAGAUUAGAUGCAGUAUUCUUCAAUUUUUUUAACAUAAAAAUAUAUAUUAUGUAUCAAUGUAUGUCGUGGCCUGUGGGUUCUCCCCAAAACACAUUUGUGCGCUAGGGGAUGCAAUUGUCUUCAGACUUGCAAAUAAGCCAUUCAGCCGAAUCUGCCGACUUUAAGUGGACAACGCUCGGACUUAUCAGCCGAAUCUGCCAGUCAUUCAGCAAUAUUUUUCUCUCACAAUAAAUCAGCCAAGAGUACUUUCUGUCAUGGCUUCUCAGCCAAACAAACAAGUUAGCC